GCCCCCUUAGCUCAGUCGGUAGAGCGUUUCCAUGGUAAGGAAAAGGUCAACGGUUCGAUUCCGUUAGGGGGGCUC
This 75-nucleotide transfer RNA is filed under the name Mycobacterium kiyosense. Its description in RNAcentral is "Mycobacterium sp. IWGMT90018-18076 tRNA-Thr". It matches the Rfam family "tRNA". From Rfam's summary of the family: Transfer RNA (tRNA) molecules are approximately 80 nucleotides in length. Their secondary structure includes four short double-helical elements and three loops (D, anti-codon, and T loops). Further hydrogen bonds mediate the characteristic L-shaped molecular structure. tRNAs have two regions of fundamental functional importance: the anti-codon, which is responsible for specific mRNA codon recognition, and the 3' end, to which the tRNAs corresponding amino acid is attached (by aminoacyl-tRNA synthetases). tRNAs cope with the degeneracy of the genetic code in two manners: having more than one tRNA (with a specific anti-codon) for a particular amino acid; and 'wobble' base-pairing, i.e. permitting non-standard base-pairing at the 3rd anti-codon position. Lineage: Bacteria; Bacillati; Actinomycetota; Actinomycetes; Mycobacteriales; Mycobacteriaceae. The record is from RNAcentral.